Molecule: ribosomal RNA, 253 nt
Filed under: uncultured bacterium
Lineage: Bacteria
Description: partial 16S ribosomal RNA
Rfam family: Bacterial small subunit ribosomal RNA
Source: RNAcentral
UACGUAGGAGACGAGCGUUGUCCGGAGUUACUGGGUUUAAAGGGUGUGUAGGCGGGCUUUUAAGUCAGUGGUGAAAUCUCCGGGCUCAACCCGGAAACUGCCAUUGAUACUAUUAGUCUUGAAUUUUGUUGAGGUAGGCGGAAUAAGUCAUGUAGCGGUGAAAUGCAUAGAUAUGACUUAGAACACCAAUUGCGAAGGCAGCUUGCUAAACAAACAUUGACGCUGAGGCACGAAAGCGUGGGGAUCAAACAGG